Long non-coding RNA from Lates calcarifer (barramundi perch), 544 nucleotides. RefSeq lists it as uncharacterized. The transcript has 3 exons. NCBI's taxonomy places the organism in Eukaryota, Metazoa, Chordata, Actinopteri, Centropomidae. The record is from RefSeq and is a predicted model, not a curated record.
AGGAAAAACACAGGUGUUAGUGAUACCACUAAGUGAGCGAGCGUGAACAACACCAGGAUCUGAUGAACUUCAGCCUGAGCAGAGGUCUCAUGAUGAACCACAGUGACCGUGUCGGCGUUCAGAGUCAUGAGCUCACCUUCACAGGUGUUUCCAGUUUCAGGCUGAUCAGACCUCUGCUCAGGUUUGGAGCUGCACUGGGAACAACCAGGCAGAGGCUGAGGCACUGCAGCAGGCCUUUCAUCCACAGGCAGUGAGCCAGGAACAGCAGCAGCAGGCAGGCGCCGGCCGAGCAGUACACGCCGAUCACCGUGCUCUCCUCCGGCAGGAAACACUUGGACAGAGCGUAACUGGCAGCUCGUGCCGCAGGUUAUCAUGAACCCCUGUGUUACAUCCUCCCGUCACUCACUUCACUCCCUUCUUGGUGACGAUCCUGGUGGAGGACGCGUUGAAGACCUUCUCGAAGCGCUGCAGCUUGAACCAGUCCAUCCUGCAGGGAGACACAACACAGCACAAAAAAAAAAGAAGAAAUAAAUAAAUAAAAACA